GCCCUUUCUACUUUCCUCAAUUACAGUUUGCCAUUCUUCUGUAACCUUCUGAUUCGAUUGUCGCCAGAAGAACCCAGAGAGAGAUCAAUAAUCAAUCACCCCUAAUCGCGUGUACACAUCUCUUGAGGAGAGAGAGAGAGAGAGAGAGAACGAAGAGAGCCGAGUGAUCUGGGUAGAAGAAGAAGAAGGGAUUUCGAAUCGCAAACAAAUCCUCUCCAUAACUCCUUCUUCCAUAAAUCUUUCUCCUCCACUGUUAUUCAGCCCGGGCAGUCCAACCCGAAGGUUGAGGAUAAAGCCAAGUUGUGCCCUUGUGUUAAAGAUGAUGUAUCCAUUACUAUAUUAGAAGCAAAGCUCUCAUAUUUUGGACAUGCGAGUAAGGCAUAUACAUUUCUGUAAUUGAAGAAUUCUAAUAUUGAUGACUGGAUACUUGAGUGAUGCAACUAUGGCUGAGGAUGCCUUAUCUGUUUGCAUGACUAUAAUGAUUGGGAGCUCAUAUUUCCUUUAACCUUCUUUGCGGGGACAGGCUGCAAACUGGAACAAUAACCCCGUUUGUGCAGCUACAAUUGGAGCAGUCACUUUUUUGGAACCUACUCCAGCAGCAAAUUUUACUACGCUAACUUAGAACUACACUAACUAGCUCUUUGGAUAUACUCCACCUGCUACUUUUUCUAAAGGAGCAACUAAUCUUUUUGUACAACUAGCAUUUUUGAACCAGCUUCAAUAGCAACUAAAGUCUAAAUUGUAUGAAAUUUCGCUAUUUCAAUAGAAUGCAGUAAUUUCCCU
RNAcentral lists this long non-coding RNA (783 nucleotides) under Rosa chinensis. Its description in RNAcentral is "sRNA RchiOBHm_Chr7g0217011". Lineage: Eukaryota; Viridiplantae; Streptophyta; Magnoliopsida; Rosales; Rosaceae. The record is from RNAcentral.